ACGUUGGUGGCUCAGUGGUAGAGUUCUUGCCUUCCAUGCACGUGACCUGAGUUAGAUUCCCAGACAAUGUA
Molecule: transfer RNA, 71 nt
Filed under: Loxodonta africana (African savanna elephant)
Lineage: Eukaryota; Metazoa; Chordata; Mammalia; Proboscidea; Elephantidae
Rfam family: tRNA
About the family: Transfer RNA (tRNA) molecules are approximately 80 nucleotides in length.
Source: Rfam by way of RNAcentral